AGCAGCCGCGGUAAUUCCAGCUCCAAUAGCGUAUAUUAAAAGUUGUUGCAGUUAAAAAGUCGUAGUUGAAUUUCGGGAUUAAUUAUCGGUCGUGCUUUUGUACGUACUGGUAUUAUUGUUCCUACCUUCUGACGAACCAUGAUGUCAUUAAUUUUGGUGUCUUGGGGGAAUCAGGGAUGUUACUUUUGAAAAAAUUUAAGAGUGUUUUAAAAGGCAUGGCUCACGCUUGAAUACAUA
RNAcentral lists this ribosomal RNA (237 nucleotides) under uncultured Glomeromycotina. RNAcentral describes it as "partial small subunit ribosomal RNA". It matches the Rfam family "Eukaryotic small subunit ribosomal RNA", at positions 569 to 805 of the family's 1831-position model. The record is from RNAcentral. Lineage: Eukaryota; Fungi; Glomeromycota.